GACGGAGGAUGCAAGUGUUAUCCGGAAUUACUGGGCGUAAAGCGUGCGCAGGCGGUUUUGUAAGUCUGUCGUGAAAUCCCCGGGCUCAACCUGGGAAUGGCGAUGGAGACUGCAAGGCUAGAAUCUGGCAGAGGGGGGUAGAAUUCCACGUGUAGCAGUGAAAUGCGUAGAGAUGUGGAGGAACACCGAUGGCGAAGGCAGCCCCCUGGGUCAAGAUUGACGCUCAUGCACGAAAGCGUGGGGAGCAAACAGG
This 253-nucleotide ribosomal RNA is filed under the name uncultured bacterium. Its description in RNAcentral is "partial 16S ribosomal RNA". It matches the Rfam family "Bacterial small subunit ribosomal RNA", at positions 524 to 776 of the family's 1533-position model. The record is from RNAcentral.